AAUGGGCGAAAGCCUGACGGAGCAACGCCGCAUGAGGGAUGAAGGCCUCUGGGCUGUAAACCUCUUUUAUCAAGGAAGAAGAUCUGACGGUACUUGAUGAAUAAGCCACGGCUAAUUCCGUGCCAGCAGCCGCGGUAAUACGGGAGUGGCAAGCGUUAUCCGGAAUUAUUGGGCGUAAAGCGUCCGCAGGCGGCCCAGAAAGUCUGCUGUUAAAAAGUGGAGCUUAACUCCAUCAUGGCAGUGGAAACUGUUGGGCUUGAGUGUGGUAGGGGCAGAGGGAAUUCCCGGUGUAGCGGUGAAAUGCGUAGAUAUCGGGAAGAACACCAGUGGCGAAGGCGCUCUGCUGGGCCAUCACUGACGCUCAUGGACGAAAGCCAGGGGAGCGAAAGGGAUU
Molecule: ribosomal RNA, 394 nt
Filed under: uncultured Gammaproteobacteria bacterium
Lineage: Bacteria; Pseudomonadati; Pseudomonadota; Gammaproteobacteria
Description: bacterial SSU rRNA
Rfam family: Bacterial small subunit ribosomal RNA
Source: RNAcentral